AUCUAUAUCCCAAUUCGUGGACGGGCCAACGGUUUUAGUUGAGCCAAAGGCUUUCACCAGUUAAUAGCACAAAAUUGUGUCUUUCCACAGCGGACAAAAACCAAGCAAAUUAAAUCAAGAUGAGCGAAGCCCGCAACUUGUUCACCACCUUUGGCAUCCUGGCCAUUCUGCUUUUCUUCCUCUACCUCAUCUAUGCCGUAUUGUAAAAUGUUUCCGGCAAGUAGAUGGUCCUUAGGGCAGGAUCAAAGGCAAUGGCCAUAAUUCCAAGCGCUGGCCAACUUUUUGUGGAGAAGUGGAAUUCAGAUCGGGAAAUUCAGUUAUUGCGCGCCUUUAGCUACGAACGGUUGGAAAUCCUCCAAGCAAUUAAGAAAACCCAAUCCCACAACCAGCAGCCAAAUCGGAAUCAAUCAAAAUGAAUGAGGCCAAAAGUUUGUUCACCACCUUCCUCAUCCUGGCCUUCCUGCUGUUCCUGCUCUACGCCUUCUACGAAGCCGCCUUCUAGGCCCACAUCCCCUAGUCAACCAUGAUCAUCACCAACCACCCAUCAAGGAUAGUUUACAUGUUGAAUUUCAAUUCCAAGCCGCUGGCCAUGCCAUCAUCUUGUGGUCCGGUGGAGCUUCUAGGACCCUACGCGUUUAAGAUGUUUAGCAUUUAAUGGAUUUCUACUAGUAACCUAAGCCAG
Drosophila sechellia is the source of this 682-nucleotide long non-coding RNA. RefSeq lists it as uncharacterized. The transcript has 4 exons. The record is from RefSeq and is a predicted model, not a curated record. NCBI's taxonomy places the organism in Eukaryota, Metazoa, Arthropoda, Insecta, Diptera, Drosophilidae.